RNAcentral lists this ribosomal RNA (349 nucleotides) under uncultured bacterium. RNAcentral's name for it is "bacterial SSU rRNA". It matches the Rfam family "Bacterial small subunit ribosomal RNA", at positions 917 to 1264 of the family's 1533-position model. The record is from RNAcentral.
GGACCCGCACAAGUAGUGGAGCAUGUGGUUUAAUUCGAAGAUACGCGCAGAACCUUACCAACACUUGACAUGUUCGUCGCGACUUUAAGAGAUUAAAGUUUUCGGUUCGGCCGGACGAAACACAGGUGCUGCAUGGCUGUCGUCAGCUCGUGUCGUGAGAUGUUGGGUUAAGUCCCGCAACGAGCGCAACCCUCACUUUUAGUUGCCAUCAUUUAGUUGGGCACUCUGAAAGAACUGCCAGUGAUAAGCUGGAGGAAGGUGGGGAUGACGUCAAGUCCUCAUGGCCCUUACGUGUUGGGCUACACACGUGCUACAAUGGCAAGUACAAGAGUCGCAAUACCGCGAGGUG